This 373-nucleotide ribosomal RNA is filed under the name uncultured bacterium. RNAcentral's name for it is "bacterial SSU rRNA". It matches the Rfam family "Bacterial small subunit ribosomal RNA", at positions 525 to 896 of the family's 1533-position model. The record is from RNAcentral.
ACGUAGGGUGCGAGCGUUAAUCGGAAUUACUGGGCGUAAAGCGUGCGCAGGCGGAUUGUUAAGCAAGACGUGAAAUCCCCGGGCUUAACCUGGGAAUGGCGUUUUGAACUGGCAGUCUAGAGUGUGUCAGAGGGGGGUAGAAUUCCACGUGUAGCAGUGAAAUGCGUAGAGAUGUGGAGGAAUACCAAUGGCGAAGGCAGCCCCCUGGGAUAACACUGACGCUCAUGUACGAAAGCGUGGGUAGCAAACAGGAUUAGAUACCCUGGUAGUCCACGCCCUAAACGAUGUCAACUGGUUGUUGGGGGAGUGAAAUCCCUUAGUAACGAAGCUAACGCGUGAAGUUGACCGCCUGGGGAGUACGGUCGCAAGAUUA